GUCGCAAGACCAAAGAGGGGGACCUUCGGGCCUCUUGCCAUCAGAUGUGCCCAGAUGGGAUUAGCUUGUUGGUGAGGUAACGGCUCACCAAGGCGACGAUCCCUAGCUGGUCUGAGAGGAUGACCAGCCACACUGGAACUGAGACACGGUCCAGACUCCUACGGGAGGCAGCAGUGGGGAAUAUUGCACAAUGGGCGCAAGCCUGAUGCAGCCAUGCCGCGUGUAUGAAGAAGGCCUUCGGGUUGUAAAGUACUUUCAGCGGGGAGGAAGGUGUUGUGGUUAAUAACCGCAGCAAUUGACGUUACCCGCAGAAGAAGCACCGGCUAACUCCGUGCCAGCAGCCGCGGUAAUACGGAGGGUGCAAGCGUUAAUCGGAAUUACUGGGCGUAAAGCGCACGCAGGCGGUCUGUCAAGUCGGAUGUGAAAUCCCCGGGCUCAACCUGGGAACUGCAUUCGAAACUGGCAGGCUUGAGUCUUGUAGAGGGGGGUAGAAUUCCAGGUGUAGCGGUGAAAUGCGUAGAGAUCUGGAGGAAUACCG
This 538-nucleotide ribosomal RNA is filed under the name Salmonella enterica subsp. enterica serovar Oranienburg. Its description in RNAcentral is "bacterial SSU rRNA". It matches the Rfam family "Bacterial small subunit ribosomal RNA", at positions 173 to 711 of the family's 1533-position model. Lineage: Bacteria; Pseudomonadati; Pseudomonadota; Gammaproteobacteria; Enterobacterales; Enterobacteriaceae. The record is from RNAcentral.